Molecule: non-coding RNA, 25 nt
Filed under: Rattus norvegicus (Norway rat)
Lineage: Eukaryota; Metazoa; Chordata; Mammalia; Rodentia; Muridae
Source: RNAcentral
GGAGCUGACUUGGUCUGACCUGAGG